GAUGAACGCUAGCUACAGGCUUAACACAUGCAAGUCGAGGGGAAACGAUAUUGGAAGCUUGCUUCCGAUAGGCGUCGACCGGCGCACGGGUGAGUAACGCGUAUCCAACCUGCCCACCACUUGGGGAUAACCUUGCGAAAGUAAGACUAAUACCCAAUGAUAUCUCUAGAAGACAUCUGAAAGAGAUUAAAGAUUCAUCGGUGAUGGAUGGGGAUGCGUCUGAUUAGCUUGUUGGCGGGGUAACGGCCCACCAAGGCGACGAUCAGUAGGGGUUCUGAGAGGAAGGUCCCCCACAUUGGAACUGAGACACGGUCCAAAACUCCUACGGGAGGCAGCAGUGAGGAAUAUUGGUCAAUGGGCGAGAGCCUGAACCAGCCAAGUAGCGUGCAGGACGACGGCCCUAUGGGUUGUAAACGUGCUUUUAUAGGGGGAUAAAAGUGCGCCACGUGUGGCAUAUUGCAGGUACCCUAUGAAUAAGGACCGGCUAAUUCCGUGCCAGCAG
RNAcentral lists this ribosomal RNA (502 nucleotides) under uncultured bacterium. RNAcentral's name for it is "bacterial SSU rRNA". It matches the Rfam family "Bacterial small subunit ribosomal RNA", at positions 28 to 514 of the family's 1533-position model. The record is from RNAcentral.